Molecule: long non-coding RNA, 314 nt
Filed under: Trifolium pratense (red clover)
Lineage: Eukaryota; Viridiplantae; Streptophyta; Magnoliopsida; Fabales; Fabaceae
Description: long non-coding RNA (TPRA_LNC002588)
Source: RNAcentral
AAUAAACUGCACAAGUAAUUGUUAACCCAGUUCAGCCAACUGCCUACUCUGGGGGAUACCAAUCCAGGAAGGAAAUCCACUAAUAGCUCUAGUUACUAAGACCUCCAGCAAACCCUAGGAUUUACGUCUUACACUAAGACCUCCAGCAAACCCCUGGUUUACGCCUUAUAACCUCGACACUACUCAUGCAACUGCUGCCUAGGAACUCCUAGACAUGAGAUCCCAUCUCACUUCCACUCACACAACACAACCUGUGUUGUUUAAACAAUGUUGGGAAUGAUGUGGCAACAACUUACCAAGACACUACUUCACUU